UCACUUAUGAGAGAUGCUUUGGUGCCUUCGGGACUCUGAGACAGGUGCUGCAUGGCUGUCGUCAGCUCGUGUUGUGAAAUGUUGGGUUAAGUCCCGCAACGAGCGCAACCCUUAUCCUUUGUUGCCAGCGGUUCGGCCGGGAACUCAAAGGAAACUGCCAGUGAUAAACUGGAGGAAGGUGGGGAUGACGUCAAGUCAUGGUGGCCCUUACUAAUAGGGCUACACACGUGCUACAAUGGUUAUAAAAAAAGAAGCAACCUCGCAAGAGAGAAGCUUUAU
RNAcentral lists this ribosomal RNA (279 nucleotides) under uncultured bacterium. Its description in RNAcentral is "partial 16S ribosomal RNA". It matches the Rfam family "Bacterial small subunit ribosomal RNA", at positions 993 to 1273 of the family's 1533-position model. The record is from RNAcentral.